GGGAUAACACUUAGAAAUAGGUGCUAAUACCGCAUAAGCGCACAGCUUCGCAUGAAGGAGUGUGAAAAACUGAGGUGGUAUAUGAUGGAUCCGCGUCUGAUUAGCCAGUUGGUGAGGUAACGGCUCACCAAAGCGACGAUCAGUAGCCGGCCUGAGAGGGCGGACGGCCACAUUGGGACUGAGACACGGCCCAGACUCCUGCGGGAGGCAGCAGUGGGGGAUAUUGCACAAUGGGGGAAACCCUGAUGCAGCGACGCCGCGUGAGUGAAGAAGUAAUUCGUUACGUAAAGCUCUAUCAGCAGGGAAGAAAAUGACGGUACCUGACUAAGAAGCCCCGGCUAACUACGUGCCAGCAGCCGCGGUAAUACGUAGGGGGCAAGCGUUAUCCGGAAUUACUGGGUGUAAAGGGAGCGCAGACGGCAGUGCAAGUCUGGAGUGAAAGCCCGUGGCUUAACCACGGGACUGCUCUGGAAACUGUGCAGCUAGAGUGCAGGAGAGGCAGGCGGAAUUCCUAGUGUAGCGGUGAAAUGCGUAGAUAUUAGGAGGAACACCGGUGGCGAAGGCGGCCUGCUGGACUGUAACUGACGUUGAGGCUCGAAAGCGUGGGGAGCAAACAGGAUUAGAUACCCUGGUAGUCCACGCCGUAAACGAUGAUUACUAGGUGUCGGGGGACGAUAGUGCUCCGGUGCCGGCG
This 694-nucleotide ribosomal RNA is filed under the name uncultured bacterium. RNAcentral's name for it is "bacterial SSU rRNA". It matches the Rfam family "Bacterial small subunit ribosomal RNA", at positions 140 to 851 of the family's 1533-position model. The record is from RNAcentral.